Molecule: transfer RNA, 75 nt
Filed under: Vibrio cholerae TM 11079-80
Lineage: Bacteria; Pseudomonadati; Pseudomonadota; Gammaproteobacteria; Vibrionales; Vibrionaceae
Description: tRNA-OTHER
Rfam family: tRNA
About the family: Transfer RNA (tRNA) molecules are approximately 80 nucleotides in length. Their secondary structure includes four short double-helical elements and three loops (D, anti-codon, and T loops).
Source: RNAcentral
GCGACACUAGCUCAGUUGGUAGAGCGCAACCUUGCCAGGUUGAGGUCACGAGUUCGAACCUCGUGUGUCGCUCCA